This 413-nucleotide unclassified non-coding RNA is filed under the name soil metagenome. Its description in RNAcentral is "partial contains 5.8S ribosomal RNA, internal transcribed spacer 2, and large subunit ribosomal RNA". The stretch from base 1 to 120 matches the Rfam family "5.8S ribosomal RNA", at positions 35 to 154 of the family's 154-position model. The record is from RNAcentral.
GAUGAAGAACGUAGCGAAAUGCGAUAAGUAAUGUGAAUUGCAGAAUUCAGUGAAUCAUCGAAUCUUUGAACGCACCUUGCGCUCUUUGGUAUUCCAAAGAGCAUGCCUGUUUGAGUGUCAUGAAAAUAUCAACCUUGACUUGGGUUUUGUGCUCUAGUCUCGGCUUGGAAUUGGGUGCUUGCCGCUUUUACGAGCGGCUCACCUUAAAUGUAUUAGCUGGAUCUGUCUUUGAGACUUGGUUUGACUUGGCGUAAUAAGUAUUUCGCUAAGGACAUUCUUCGGAGUGGCCUCGUUUCUAGGACGCUUGUCCGCUUUCCAAUACAAGUUCCACCUCGUGGACAUGACUUUUUAUUAUCUGGCCUCAAAUCAGGUAGGACUACCCGCUGAACUUAAGCAUAUCAAUAAGCGGAGGA